Molecule: ribosomal RNA, 394 nt
Filed under: Gambierdiscus australes
Lineage: Eukaryota; Dinophyceae; Gonyaulacales; Pyrocystaceae
Description: partial Bacterial large subunit ribosomal RNA
Rfam family: Bacterial large subunit ribosomal RNA
Source: RNAcentral
GGCGAUCUAUCCAUGGCCAGGGUGAAGGACAGGUAACACUGUCUGGAGGCCCGAACCCACUUAUGUUGAAAAAUGAGGGGAUGAGCUGUGGAUCGGAGUGAAAGGCUAAUCAAGCUCGGAGAUAGCUGGUUCUCCUCGAAAUCUAUUUAGGUAGAGCCUCAUGUAUCACUCUAGGGGGUAGAGCACUGUUAUGGCUAGGGGGUCAUCCCGACUUACCAAACCAUUGCAAACUCCGAAUACCUAGAAGUGCAAUCAUGGGAGACACACUGCGGGUGCUAACGUCCGUAGUGGAAAGGGAAACAACCCAGACCGCCAACUAAGGUCCCAAAAUCAUAGCUCAGUGGGAAACGAUGUGGAAAGGCAUAGACAGCCAGGAGGUUGGCUUAGAAGCAGC